RNAcentral lists this ribosomal RNA (625 nucleotides) under Actinomadura luteofluorescens. Its description in RNAcentral is "bacterial SSU rRNA". It matches the Rfam family "Bacterial small subunit ribosomal RNA", at positions 30 to 674 of the family's 1533-position model. Lineage: Bacteria; Bacillati; Actinomycetota; Actinomycetes; Streptosporangiales; Thermomonosporaceae. The record is from RNAcentral.
GGGGCGCUCUUUGCUUAACACAUGCAAGUCGAGCGGAAAGGCCCCUUCGGGGGUACUCGAGCGGCGAACGGGUGAGUAACACGUGAGCAACCUGCCCCUGACUCUGGGAUAAGCCCGGGAAACUGGGUCUAAUACCGGAUAUAACCACUGGUCUCAUGAUCGGGUGGUGGAAAGUUUUUCGGUUGGGGAUGGGCUCGCGGCCUAUCAGCUUGUUGGUGGGGUGAUGGCCUACCAAGGCGACGACGGGUAACCGGCCUGAGAGGGCGACCGGUCACACUGGGACUGAGACACGGCCCAGACUCCUACGGGAGGCAGCAGUGGGGAAUAUUGCGCAAUGGGCGGAAGCCUGACGCAGCGACGCCGCGUGAGGGAUGACGGCCUUCGGGUUGUAAACCUCUUUCAGCAGGGACGAAGCUAACGUGACGGUACCUGCAGAAGAAGCGCCGGCUAACUACGUGCCAGCAGCCGCGGUAAUACGUAGGGCGCAAGCGUUGUCCGGAAUUAUUGGGCGUAAAGAGCUCGUAGGCGGUUUGUCGCGUCUGUCGUGAAAGCCCACGGCUUAACCGUGGGUCUGCGGUGGAUACGGGCAGACUAGAGGCAGGUAGGGGAGAAUGGAAUUCCCGGU